GACGAACGCUGGCGGCGUGCCUAAUACAUGCAAGUUGAGCGCUGAAGGUUGGUACUUGUACCAACUGGAUGAGCAGCGAACGGGUGAGUAACGCGUGGGGAAUCUGCCUUUGAGCGGGGGACAACAUUUGGAAACGAAUGCUAAUACCGCAUAAAAACUUUAAACACAAGUUUUAAGUUUGAAAGAUACAAUUGCAUCACUCAAAGAUGAUCCCGCGUUGUAUUAGCUAGUUGGUGAGGUAAAGGCUCACCAAGGCGAUGAUACAUAGCCGACCUGAGAGGGUGAUCGGCCACAUUGGGACUGAGACACGGCCCAAACUCCUACGGGAGGCAGCAGUAGGGAAUCUUCGGCAAUGGACGAAAGUCUGACCGAGCAACGCCGCGGGAGUGAAGAAGGUUGUCGGAUCGUAAAACUCGGUUGGUAGAGAAGAACGUUGGUGAGAGUGGAAAGCUCAUCAAGUGACGGUAACUACCCAGAAAGGGACGGCUAACUACGUG
Molecule: ribosomal RNA, 497 nt
Filed under: uncultured bacterium
Lineage: Bacteria
Description: partial 16S ribosomal RNA
Rfam family: Bacterial small subunit ribosomal RNA
Source: RNAcentral